RNAcentral lists this microRNA precursor (103 nucleotides) under Marmota monax (woodchuck). Lineage: Eukaryota; Metazoa; Chordata; Mammalia; Rodentia; Sciuridae. The record is from RNAcentral.
AGGGGAAUAGCUGGGUCAAAUGGUGAUUCCAUUCCCAGCUUUCCAAGAAAUCUCCAUACUACUUUCCAAAUUGGCUGCACCAAUUUGCACUCCCACCAGCAAU